This 1137-nucleotide long non-coding RNA is filed under the name Calidris pugnax (ruff). RNAcentral describes it as "lncRNA (ENSCPUG00000012909.1)". Lineage: Eukaryota; Metazoa; Chordata; Aves; Charadriiformes; Scolopacidae. The record is from RNAcentral.
AUGGUCCUCCAAGGUGAUGGAGACCCACCUCCAAGACCUGUGGUUGACCAUGGGCCACCGGUGGGUGCCGUGGGGCGGCCGUGGGGCUCAGCUGAUGUAGACGCGGUGGAAGUCAUGGGCCCCGAAGGCCGCGUUGCACUUGGGGCACUUGCGCUGGCGGGUGUCGUAGCGGCUCUUGACGCACUCAAAGCAGAAGACGUGGAAGCACUUGGUGAGGACGGCGUCCUUCUUGCGGGCGUUGCAGCAAGGGCAGGUCAGGCGGGCCUGGGGGGGGGCAAGAUGGCCAUCAGCCCCAUGGCAGAGCACCCAUGGGUGGUCCAGACCCACCCGUGGUCUUCUAAGCCCACCCUGAGGUCCUCCAAACCCAUCCCUGGUCUUCCAAACCCAUUCCUGGUCUUCCAAACCCAACCCCUGGUCCUCCAAGCCUACAGAAGAUGGUGGAGAGGCAACAAAAACGGUGGGGCAAGAGAGCUGUCAGCCCCACGGGGGCACCCAUGGGUGCUCCAACCUCACCCAAGGUCCUCCAGCACCCACCCAAAGUUCUCCAACUGCCAUCUAAAGACAUCCAACCCUACCCAAGGUCCUCCAGAUGCACCACAAGGUCCUCCAGCCCCCACCCAAGGUCCCUCAGCUCCUUCCAAGGUCCUCCAGCACCCACUUAAAAAUUCUCCAACCUUACCCAAGGUCCUCCAGAUGCACCACAAGGUCCUCCAGCCCCCACCCAAGGUCCCUCAGCUCCUUCCAAGGUCCUCCAGCACCCACUUAAAAAUUCUCCAACCUUACCCAAGGUCCUCCAGAUGCACCACAAGGUCCUCCAGCCCCCACCCAAGGUCCCUCAGCUCCUUCCAAGGUCCUCCAGCUCCCUCCCAAGGUGCUCCAGCCCCACCCAAGGUCCCUCAGCUCCUUCCAAGGUCCUCCAGCACCCACCCAAAGUUCUCCACCUCCCAUCUAAAGACAUCCAACCCUACCCAAGGUCCUCCAGAUGCACCACAAGGUCCUCCAGCCCCACCCAAGGCCCCACAGCUCCUUCCCAGGUCCUCCAGCUCCCACCCAAAGUUCUCCAACUCACAUCUAAAAACCUCCAACCCUACCCAAGGUCCUCCAGCCCCCACUUCAAAAUUCUCCAACCCCACCUAA